RNAcentral lists this transfer RNA (85 nucleotides) under Felis catus (domestic cat). It matches the Rfam family "tRNA". From Rfam's summary of the family: Transfer RNA (tRNA) molecules are approximately 80 nucleotides in length. Their secondary structure includes four short double-helical elements and three loops (D, anti-codon, and T loops). Lineage: Eukaryota; Metazoa; Chordata; Mammalia; Carnivora; Felidae. The record is from Rfam by way of RNAcentral.
GCCUGAGUGGCUCAGUUGGUUGAGUGGCUGACUUCGACUCAGGUCAUGAUCUUGCUGUUCGUGAGUUCGAGCCCCUCUUCAGGCU